Molecule: long non-coding RNA, 280 nt
Filed under: Ursus maritimus (polar bear)
Lineage: Eukaryota; Metazoa; Chordata; Mammalia; Carnivora; Ursidae
Description: lncRNA (ENSUMAG00000025408.1)
Source: RNAcentral
CUCGAGUGCACCCAGGCUUGCAACUUUGAGGACCGUGUCUGCAGCAGCUCGGUGCUGAGCAAGGGCCCCCAGCUCCUGGUCUGUGUGGCUUGUACACGUCCCUUGCUUUGCCUGCUGCCCAUGGGCAAUUGCCUUUUGGGACUGCGCGUGCGCCUGUGAGCCGUUGUGCAUGUUUGAAACCAGGGUUUCUCCGGAGCAUGUGUAAGCUGCUGGUAGGGACCAGGACGGAGGUCAGGAGACCCCAGGACACGAGGUGGGCCAUCUCCACACGUCAGGAGCU